GUAAAUAAAGAUUAUGAAAGCAAAAAAUUAUGGCGGUAUUUUAAGCUUUUCAGAGGAAUUUGCUCUUUAAUGGAUAAAACACCUAAAUCUUACUUAAAUUUGUUAAUUCAAUUUGUAUACCACUAUAAAAACAAUUUAUAACUUUAAUUGUUGAUAUUUAUUAAAUUAAAAUAUAUUAAGUCAAGGUGCAGUAAAAAUUUAAGGAUGAAGUGAAUUACAUUACUUUUUAGAGAAAUAAAUUUAAAAUAAUAUUUAGGAUUUGAAAGUAAAAUUAAAAUAUAAUGUUAAUUUGA
RNAcentral lists this ribosomal RNA (293 nucleotides) under Rhipicephalus sanguineus (brown dog tick). Its description in RNAcentral is "partial 12S ribosomal RNA". Lineage: Eukaryota; Metazoa; Arthropoda; Arachnida; Ixodida; Ixodidae. The record is from RNAcentral.